AACCUACCUUCAGAAUGGGGACAACAGUUGGAAACGACUGCUAAUACCCAAUGUGCCGAAAGGUGAAAGAUUUAUCGUCUGAAGAUGGGCUCGCGUCUGAUUAGCUAGAUGGUGGGGUAAGAGCCUACCAUGGCAACGAUCAGUAGCUGGUCUGAGAGGAUGAGCAGCCACACUGGGACUGAGACACGGCCCAGACUCCUACGGGAGGCAGCAGUGGGGAAUUUUCCGCAAUGGGCGAAAGCCUGACGGAGCAAUACCGCGUGAGGGAGGAAGGUCCUUGGAUUGUAAACCUCUUUUAUCAGGGAAGAAGUUCUGACGGUACCUGAUGAAUAAGCAUCGGCUAACUCCGUGCCAGCAGCCGCGGUAAUACGGAGGAUGCAAGCGUUAUCCGGAAUUAUUGGGCGUAAAGCGUCCGUAGGUGGUUUUGCAAGUCUGCUGUUAAAGAAUGGAGCUUAACUCCAUAGAAGCGGUGGAAACUGCAAGACUAGAGUACAGUAGGGGUAGCAGGAAUUCCCAGUGUAGCGGUGAAAUGCGUAGAUAUUGGGAAGAACAUCGGUGGCGAAAGCGUGCUACUGGGCUGAAACUGACACUGAGGGACGAAAGCUAGGGUAGCGAAAGGGAUUAGAUAC
RNAcentral lists this ribosomal RNA (629 nucleotides) under Synechocystis sp. CCNM 2501. RNAcentral describes it as "bacterial SSU rRNA". It matches the Rfam family "Bacterial small subunit ribosomal RNA", at positions 123 to 785 of the family's 1533-position model. The record is from RNAcentral. Lineage: Bacteria; Bacillati; Cyanobacteriota; Cyanophyceae; Synechococcales; Merismopediaceae.